This 1560-nucleotide long non-coding RNA is filed under the name Hordeum vulgare. Its description in RNAcentral is "long non-coding RNA (HVUL_LNC005774)". Lineage: Eukaryota; Viridiplantae; Streptophyta; Magnoliopsida; Poales; Poaceae. The record is from RNAcentral.
UGCGCUGGAGGCAAAAUUCCUAAAAAAAUUAUAAUAUGCACUGAUGGGGAUUUGAUCCCUGGACCUCUCAUUUGAAAAUAAGGUUGCUAGCCACUGCACUAAACUCUGUUACUAGCAUGAAAGGAAUUCGAAUGUAUAUCAACUAGCCAAGACGGGAACAAAUAUGAGCUGGUGCACCACAAAAGAAAAUGAAACAUAAAAUCUGGGGCGCACGGGAGUCGAACCGGGGACCUCCAUCACAGCAGUUGGCUGCGCUAGCCAACUCAGCUAGCCUACAACUCGUUGACACAACCAGUGCCCACUAUAGACAACAUGUCCUUGCUAGAACGGAUCUAGAGGAGACUGAAUUCAGAUCGGGAGGACUGCUCACAACGGGGAUGCAGAGGCCGACGGCGCGAUGCUUCGGCGAAGAUGGCGGACUCGGAGGCCGGGAAUGGAUAGGGGGGAACGGUCGGGUGCGGAUCCGGCUGGAAGGGCUACGACGGUGAGGUUCACGGUGACGAGACGGCAGCCAUGGGGCUCCUGCAGGUGCUGAUUCAGACAACUUCAGAGAAAAAAAAUUCAGAAAGAGGGGGAGAGCAGGGGAGGAAGAAGAAGAGGAGAGCGAGGCAUAGGGACCUGCUGCUGCAGCUGGUUGGUUCAUCGACGCAUCGGCUGAACGGGUGAGGAGAGCACGGGUCCAACCAUUCCCGGAGUCAGUCGGUGGCGGCGUGGUGCAGCUUGAGCAUCGGGCCCUGGUUGGAGCUCCUGCAGCACGAGAGGGAGCACAGGGUACGGUCAACAGCAAGUUGACUCAGCCGGCAGCGCGUGACGGCUUGAGAAACGAACGGGAAAGGCUCGGGAUGGGCAGAUCCCGGCUCGGGCCACCCAUUCCCGACGACGAGGGAUCUUGGGGAGGCGCGGACGGCGACCUCCAUCAAGGCGGCGACGGGUUCCUCUGCCCUUGUCAACGAGAGAAGAGAGAGCUUAGCAGAGAUGGGAGAAGAUAAAAGCAGAGAGGGUAAGGGAAGGAGAGGCUCCGACGUGCCGACCUGGGAGGUGGCCGAUGCCCAUGGCGAGGCUGCAGGGAGGCACCUGAGGUGGAGCCUGCCUCGCGAGUAGAGGAUCUCGGGAAGCUCGGGGUCGAUCCCCUGCUAGCGCCGCACGCUGCUUGGACGAGGUCGGGGUCACCGAUAGGCGCAGCUGGCGGAAGGGGUGCCGGUGCCCAACCGACACUAGCGGCGAGGUGCGCGCAGAUGGGGCCGCUGCUGCGUCCGUACUCUGCUGGCGGUGCUCCUCCGAAGAUGUUGCUGCAGUGCAACAGGGGGAGAGGAAUGAGACACAGCGAGCAGGAGGGAAGGGAGCAGAGGAACACAGGGAGGGGGGACGGAGAGGGACAUGGCCGACCUGGAGGCUGGGUGCUGCUACUGCGCGCGGAUGCCUGCGGGGAAGCGGCGGCUGCACGCGAGCGCUCUGUUGGGUGCGAACGUGCAACGAGGAGGAGGGGGGUUGGUCGGGAGGAGAUCCCGAGGGAGAUGGUGGCGGCGGCGCUGCGGGAAUUGGGGAGGGAAUGGAUGGGAC